UACGGAGGGAGCUAGCGUUGUUCGGAAUUACUGGGCGUAAAGCGCGCGUAGGCGGCUUUGUAAGUUAGAGGUGAAAGCCCGGAGCUCAACUCCGGAACUGCCUUUAAAACUGCAUCGCUUGAAUCCAGGAGAGGUGAGUGGAAUUCCGAGCGUAGAGGUGAAAUUCGUAGAUAUUCGGAAGAACACCAGUGGCGAAGGCGGCUCACUGGACUGGUAUUGACGCUGAGGUGCGAAAGCGUGGGGAGCAAACAGG
Molecule: ribosomal RNA, 253 nt
Filed under: uncultured bacterium
Lineage: Bacteria
Description: partial 16S ribosomal RNA
Rfam family: Bacterial small subunit ribosomal RNA
Source: RNAcentral